AGACCACAUUCAAAACCAACAUGUUCUCUGUAGCUCUGCUGCUGCUGCUGGCUGCUGGAUCCUGUGUGAAGUGUGAACAGCUGACACAGCCAGCCUCUGUGACUGUGCAGCCAGGUCAGCGUCUGACCAUCUCCUGUCAGGUCUCUUAUUCUCUUGGCUACUGGACAGGUUGGAUCAGAGAGGCUGCAGGGAAAGGACUGGAGUGGAUUGGGGUGAAAGAUACCUCAGGCUCUCACUAUAAAGAUUCACUGAAGAACAAGUUCAGUAUUGAAUUAGACACUUCAAGCAAAACAGUGACUCUAAAUGGACAGAACAUGCAGCCUGAAGACUCUGCUGUGUAUUACUGUGCCAGACACUCACAGUAA
Molecule: non-coding RNA, 365 nt
Organism: Archocentrus centrarchus (flier cichlid)
Lineage: Eukaryota; Metazoa; Chordata; Actinopteri; Cichliformes; Cichlidae
Source: the annotation of a RefSeq genome assembly